AGGAUUUUCUUUAGCCAGCGUUUGGAGUUCCUGCAUUCGUCCCAGUGCCAGUGAAAACGAGGGUGGAAGAAUUUCCAGUGUUGCUGAAAACUGGACGAAACUUCGGCUGAGAAACAGACGAGACUUCGGAGCUGUUGCUGUUUCUGCUGCUACAGCUUAAGCUAGCUGCCUGCAGAACUUACCUGGACUGUGAUUUAAGCUAGCUGCCUGCAGAACUUACCUGGACUGUGAUUUAAGCUAGCUGCCUGCAGAACUUACCUGGACUGUGAUUUACCUGGACUGUGAGUUAAUCUAUUGAGACACUGCUUUACCUGGACUGAGACAACAAACUGUAAUCUACAACAAAUUGUAACUCGGUAUCUUUGCUAACAGUGUCAUUGCUGGUAUAAUUUUUCCAAGGGCUUCUUGCAUGGAGCCAUCAAUUGGCUUGGUAUUGUGGCAUUUUGUAUCCUCCC
This 455-nucleotide long non-coding RNA is filed under the name Marmota monax (woodchuck). Lineage: Eukaryota; Metazoa; Chordata; Mammalia; Rodentia; Sciuridae. The record is from RNAcentral.